UGGGGAAUCUUGCGCAAUGGGCGAAAGCCUGACGCAGCGACGCCGCGUGUGGGAUGAAGGUCUUCGGAUUGUAAACCACUGUCGGGAGGGACGAAGCUCUGACGGUACCUCCAAAGGAAGCACCGGCUAACUCUGUGCCAGCAGCCGCGGUAAUACAGAGGGUGCGAGCGUUGUCCGGAAUCACUGGGCGUAAAGGGCGCGUAGGCGGCCUGGUAAGUAGGGGGGUGAAAUCUCAUGGCUCAACUGUGAGGCUGCCUUCUAGACUGCUGGGCUUGAGCACGGUAGAGGCUGGUGGAAUUCCCGGUGUAGCGGUGGAAUGCGUAGAGAUCGGGAGGAACAUCGGUGGCGAAGGCGGCCAGCUGGGCCGUUGCUGACGCUGAGGCGC
Molecule: ribosomal RNA, 385 nt
Filed under: uncultured bacterium
Lineage: Bacteria
Description: bacterial SSU rRNA
Rfam family: Bacterial small subunit ribosomal RNA
Source: RNAcentral